Molecule: RNA transcript, 469 nt
Organism: Chiloscyllium plagiosum (whitespotted bambooshark)
Lineage: Eukaryota; Metazoa; Chordata; Chondrichthyes; Orectolobiformes; Hemiscylliidae
Gene name: histone H1.01-like
Source: RefSeq, a predicted model, not a curated record
CUGGGACACAGAGAGGGCUCCGAGACCGGGAUUGAUUCGGGGGUUGUGUUUCAAAUUCAAAGAAGACAGAAGAUCUGACGAGUUAGAAUUGACAGAGGGUCAGUCGUGGUGUGUAGGAACACCAAGUAAGUUAAAGAUUAGAUUAUAUUAUUUACAGCAUGGAAACAGGCCCUUCGGCCCAACAAGUGCUUCUCAAUAUUACAUUUUAGAGUUUGUAUUUCAUAAUCAGUGAUGGCUACUCAAAAUCAGCAUAAAGUCCCAAAAUGCAAAUAAAUUCCAAACAUUCAUCUCUCUCUCACACGCACUCACACACUGUCACUCACUCACUCACACACACAAUAAGAAUCCAUUAUAAUUGAUAGGACCUGACCGUUUAUUACAAGGCUUUUGACAUGCUUCUGAGAUGAUACAAAGUUUCCGAGAUCACAAUCAAAUACUGUCAUUAAAUUCAUAAGUUACCAACUUUGAA